RNAcentral lists this ribosomal RNA (346 nucleotides) under uncultured bacterium. RNAcentral describes it as "bacterial SSU rRNA". It matches the Rfam family "Bacterial small subunit ribosomal RNA", at positions 171 to 507 of the family's 1533-position model. The record is from RNAcentral.
GCAUACCGACCGUACGGGUNAAAGGUGGGGGACCUUCGGGCCUCACGCGAUGAGAUGAGCCGAUGCCGGAUUAGCUAGUUGGCGGGGUAAACGGCCCACCAAGGCGACGAUCCGUAGCUGGUCUGAGAGGAUGAUCAGCCACACUGGAACUGAGACACGGUCCAGACUCCUACGGGAGGCAGCAGGUGGGGAAUAGUUGGACAAUGGGGGCAACCCUGAUCCAGCCAUGCCGCGUGUGUGAAGAAGGCCUUCGGGUUGUAAAGCACUUUGUUGGGGAAGAAACCGGCCGGGUUAAUACCCUGGUUGAAUGACGGCACCCAAAGAAUAAGCACCGGCUAACUUCGUG